This is a long non-coding RNA of Lathyrus oleraceus (garden pea), 904 nucleotides long. RefSeq lists it as uncharacterized. Lineage: Eukaryota; Viridiplantae; Streptophyta; Magnoliopsida; Fabales; Fabaceae. The transcript is spliced from 2 exons. The record is from RefSeq and is a predicted model, not a curated record.
AUCAUUUCAAACAUUAUACACACGUAUUAUGAGCCUCAACCUGAGCUAACAAAACUCCGUCGCAUCGGAAAUCGCCUCUGGCGGCGACGGAGGGCCAAUCCCUACAAAUUUCCCAUCAACACAAUCGUUUCAUCAUCCUAUUUCACAAAUUAAACUUGUUUCUUUCUGAUUUUUAUCCAAAAAUUCAAACCAAGCCAAAUUGACACGAACCCUAGCUUACCAAAUCAACAAACGCCAUUGAAGAGAAAUCAGAGCCUAAUUCCUUAGGUCUUUGAUUCCUCCCAUAUCAAGCUACACAACAAUAACUAUAUUGAAGCGAACAGAUGAUUAAUGACCUACCUAUGGAGUAGUGACUUGCUCUGGUGGCUGUUGCAAUGGUGGCGAUGAAGAUGAUGAUGCAAAAAAUACCAAAGAUUCUAGGUUCAUGGCAGCUUGGAUUUGGAUUAUGGAGCAUGGAAAUAAAGACAUUUUGCACCUUAUGAAGGGACUAAAUGUAGAUUCUGCACUUGUACACUAACAGUGAAACUCCUACUGUGCAUUGUGAUACAAAGCCAAAACAUGACAGCAAAAGUUAGAGACUUUGGUUUGGCUAGGCUACUUUGCUUAACUAGGAACGUUAGCAGAUGUGCAGUGGCUUGUGAGGAGAUGGAUACCAUUUGAUUUUCUCAUUUUCAAUUUUUUUUUCAAGUAUGGGAUGAAUGUAUGCCAUGUUGAUUAUGUAAGUAAUAUAGUGUAUAACAUGUACCCUUGAUUCAAUUGUUGUUAUUUUCAUUUUUUAAUAGUUGUAUGUGAGGCAUGUAUGAGUGAUACAUAGGUGAUGGGAUGUGUAGUGUAAGGAUUUGAUGAUGUAAUGUAAUUGUAACCUAGUUUCACUUGAAAUGAAAUGGUUUUAUUUCUCCUAUAA